Molecule: long non-coding RNA, 2370 nt
Organism: Papaver somniferum (opium poppy)
Lineage: Eukaryota; Viridiplantae; Streptophyta; Magnoliopsida; Ranunculales; Papaveraceae
Exons: 2
Source: RefSeq, a predicted model, not a curated record
CAAGCAUAAACGCCUCCUAUUUCUAAACAGAGCUUCUAAACGAACCCUCCCCGCGUUCACCGUCACGUCACCAGCGCUCUUGAACUACAUCAGGGCCGCCCUCGACAACACGAUUUUUCGCCAUCCUUCUCAAAACACAAGUAUCAACCCCGAUUCAUCAACAACGACCUUGGAGAUUCAUCGGUACUCAAGCAAGAUCAGUUCGGUUCUAAAUGGAGAGAUUCACUAUCAACAACCAAGUCGGGAGAUUCAAGAUCGAACUGAUAAGUCAUAUCUGCUGGUUAUCAUUCAGUACAAUUAUUAAUUGCAUCUUCUGUUUCCUCUCUUCAGAAAAAUGUUUUAGGGUUUUAAAAUCUUCAGAUUGCUUUCGAUGAGUUAGUCUAAAUUGAGAACCGGAACUAGUUUUUGCAGUUGCUUGUUUGUUCUAAUCGUUUUGAUAUAAGGGUUUUAAGCAGAUAUACAAAAUUUUGGCAUGUUGAUUCACCACAACCCUUUACUCCUAGCUCUAAUCCUAAAAUUGGCUCGAGAUUUGUAAUCAGCAUGUCUUCCUCGUCAUUACCCAUCAAAUCAUUUUUGAUUUAUUCUCAAUUUCUCGACCUAAUCGGAAUUUAGGUUUUUCCUGAUUGAUUUAAUCUCCCUUCCCCUCUCUUCUGUUUUUAAUCAGUCGGCAGGAAAUAUGAAACUGCUAGGUGUAUAUAAGACAGAAGAAGUCUAGUUCAAGCACCUGGUACACAGUUGUAACAUGGUUGUGGCAUCGUCCAGAAGCGGCUACUACGAAUCGGCUCUGUUUAUUGUCAUCUUCUCUUGGAGCAUAAUAACAACAAAUCAGCUACAAAGGUCUCUUGAUCGAAAUAUGGCUUGGGGGAGAUUAAUUCAGCUCGUCUCAUAUUAAGCGUAUCAGAAGUUCAACCAAAACCACUGCCUCGCAAUAGCCAACAAUUGCCUGAUAACCUUGUGAAUUAAUGGCACCAUCAGCGCUCGUCUUAGAAAGAAGAAUAUCAACAUCAAACUAAGGAGGCCGAUUACAGUCCCACAGUGCACAGCUGACCAUCCAAGCCACUGCCGUUUUGCCACGUGAUUCAUCAAAGACCGGGAGUCGACGAGAAUUGUAACUUGAGAAAGAGCGUGUAAGAUCUAGCCACCUAAUAUGAGUCUCAUCAGCGCCACUUGAAUGCAUCAGCGCCUCUUUUCCAUUGCCCAUCAUGCUCACAGGAUCAUGGAUAACAUACUAUGAAGGAUAAGAUUUAUACUUCUAUCCUUAAUCCCUUUAUGUUGCUUACCUGUUUUGCGGUUUGUAUGAGAUAUGGUUUUGAGAAAAGAAGAGAAAGGAAGGGACGUAUAUGUUAAUCUUCACGCAUUAAGGGUCACUAUAUCUUACGGCUUGUUCAUUAUCAAGGAUCGUUAUCAAAUGCCUAUCUAAUAUCUCCUGUAAUAUGUUCAGUAUCCUAAUUGCCUUGUUCAUAUGCUAAGCUGGUUGAUUGUUGCAUGCAGUAAUUCGGGAUGGUUUAUUGUUAUUAGCUUCCGCCAGUUACUCAUCUGCAUUGAAGAAUACUCUCAAAACGGAACAAAGAGCCGCUGGAGUUAGUAAGGGACAUCCACAGCUUCACUAUUUAAACUUGUAGGAUCGAAGAACUAAUGAGAAUAGGCGAGCUGUAACCCCGACUGCAACAGCUAAACCAUGGAAGUAGCCACCUCUGUGUUAGAAUACAGCUAAAUUAGUUCUGGAGAUCUCUUGGGUCAAAUCACAAUUGAUGAAGGAGAAACCAGUCCAUUGACGCGUGAUCAACCACUACCAGCUCAACCCAUGACAACAGCGCCAGCGCUUCCACUCUUUACAAAACUACCAGCCAGAGCUGAGAGAAGGAAGUUAUAGAGAAGCAGCGACGCAUUACUUAAUCCCAUCAGCACUACUUGACUGACUUCACCAGCAUCAUCACUUAACCAUCGGGAGAAAUAGAAGCCGUCCUGUUAAUGCCGCUCGCCUAUGCUAAAUCUCGCCAGCACCACUUCUCCCUUUUAAGCCUCUUCAUCUAAUAGGUAAGACUUGGUAGGCUUCUAUAUCUCCUAUUCAAGAUUACCUGAGAUGUAUGUUUUGUAUUUGAAAUCGUCAAGAACGUACCCCCUGAUCUAUAUGUUCGAAAUUUCAGAUGCCAUAGUUUAGUGUUUACUAAAAUGAAGGACUAGUACAUCUUUGGUGCCGCUUACAAUCCAUCGUAGUCCAGCCCGGCUAUUUUACACGCAUGUUAUACUUUAUUUUAUAGGAACACAUUUCUACGCUUCAUCGUAUGUCUAUCUUACACUCCAUUGUGCAUUUAGUCAAUUAAAAGCAUGAAAUGGCUAAGUUCUAUAUAGAUGUUUUAUGCUUUAUGA